GUGCUCGAGUGGCGAACGGGUGAGUAACACGUGAGUAACCUGCCCUUGACUUUGGGAUAACUUCAGGAAACUGGGGCUAAUACCGGAUAGGAGCUCCUGCUGCAUGGUGGGGGUUGGAAAGUUUCGGCGGUUGGGGAUGGACUCGCGGCUUAUCAGCUUGUUGGUGGGGUAGUGGCUUACCAAGGCUUUGACGGGUAGCCGGCCUGAGGGGGUGACCGGCCACAUUGGGACUGAGAUACGGCCCAG
This 246-nucleotide ribosomal RNA is filed under the name uncultured Actinomycetales bacterium. Its description in RNAcentral is "partial 16S ribosomal RNA". It matches the Rfam family "Bacterial small subunit ribosomal RNA", at positions 87 to 334 of the family's 1533-position model. The record is from RNAcentral. Lineage: Bacteria; Bacillati; Actinomycetota; Actinomycetes; Actinomycetales.